This 401-nucleotide ribosomal RNA is filed under the name uncultured marine eukaryote. Its description in RNAcentral is "SSU rRNA". It matches the Rfam family "Eukaryotic small subunit ribosomal RNA", at positions 613 to 1019 of the family's 1831-position model. The record is from RNAcentral.
UUGCGGUAAAAAAGCUCGUAGUUGGAUCUCUGUUGAGGACGACCGGUCCGUACCAUGUACGCGCAUCUGGUUCGGCCUCGGCAUCCUCUCGAUAGACGUUUCUGCGCUUGAUUGCGUGGAGCGGAUUUCGGGACUUUUACUUUGAGGAAAUUAGAGUGUUCACGGCAGGCUAUCGCCAGAAUACAUUAGCAUGGAAUAAUACUAUAGGAGCUCGGUUCUAUUUUGUUGGUUUCUAGACCCGGGGUAAUGAUUAAUAGGGACAAUUGGGGGCAUUUGUAUCAACACGUCAGAGGUGGAAUUCUUGGAUUGUGUUGCGACAAACUACUGCGAAAGCAUUUGCCAAGGAUGUUUUCAUUGAUCAAGAACGAAAGUAAGGGGAUCGAAGACGAUUAGAUACCGUC